RNAcentral lists this ribosomal RNA (468 nucleotides) under uncultured bacterium. RNAcentral's name for it is "partial 16S ribosomal RNA". It matches the Rfam family "Bacterial small subunit ribosomal RNA", at positions 28 to 507 of the family's 1533-position model. The record is from RNAcentral.
GACGAACGCUGGCGGCGUGCUUAACACAUGCAAGUCGAACGGAAAGACCCUUCUUUUGUGGGGUGCUCGAGUGGCGAACGGGUGAGUAACACGUGAGUAACCUGCCCUUGACUUUGGGAUAACUUCAGGAAACUGGGGCUAAUACCGGAUAGGAGCUCCUGCUGCAUGGUGGGGGUUGGAAAGUUUCGGCGGUUGGGGAUGGACUCGCGGCUUAUCAGCUUGUUGGUGGGGUAGUGGCUUACCAAGGCUUUGACGGGUAGCCGGCCUGAGAGGGUGACCGGCCACAUUGGGACUGAGAUACGGCCCAGACUCCUACGGGAGGCAGCAGUGGGGAAUAUUGCACAAUGGGCGGAAGCCUGAUGCAGCAACGCCGCGUGCGGGAUGACGGCCUUCGGGUUGUAAACCGCUUUCGCCUGUGACGAAGCGUGAGUGACGGUAAUGGGUAAAGAAGCACCGGCUAACUACGUG